AGCGAACGCUGGCGGCAGGCCUAACACAUGCAAGUCGAGCGGCCGUAGCAAUACGGCAGCGGCAGACGGGAGAGUAACACGUGGGAACGUACCCUUUGGUUCGGAACAACCCAGGGAAACUUGGGCUAAUACCGGAUAAGUCUGUAAGGAGAAAGAUUUAUCGCCAAAGGAUCGGCCCGCGUCUGAUUGGCUUGUUGGUGAGGUAAUGGCUCACCAGGGCGACGAUCAGUAGCUGGUCUGAGAGGAUGAUCAGCCUCACUGGGACUGUGACACGGCCCAGACUCCUACGGGAGGCAGCAGUGAGGAAUAUUGGACAAUGGGCGCAAGCCUGAUCCAGCCAUGCCGCGUGGAUGAUGAAGGCCCUAGGGUUGUAAAGUCCUUUCGGCGGGGAAGAUAAUGACGGUACCCGCAGAAGAAGCCCCGGCUAACUUCGUGCCAGCCGCCGCAGUAA
This 451-nucleotide ribosomal RNA is filed under the name uncultured bacterium. Its description in RNAcentral is "partial 16S ribosomal RNA". It matches the Rfam family "Bacterial small subunit ribosomal RNA", at positions 29 to 523 of the family's 1533-position model. The record is from RNAcentral.